Prolemur simus (greater bamboo lemur) is the source of this 120-nucleotide ribosomal RNA. Lineage: Eukaryota; Metazoa; Chordata; Mammalia; Primates; Lemuridae. The record is from Ensembl.
GUCUGAGGCCGCAACGGCCCGAAGGCGCCCGAUCUCGUCCGAUCUGGGAAGCUAAGCAGGGUCGGGCCUGGUCGGGACCUGGAUGGGAGACCGCCGCUGCCGCCGCCGCCGCCGCCGCCG